This 395-nucleotide ribosomal RNA is filed under the name uncultured bacterium. RNAcentral's name for it is "bacterial SSU rRNA". It matches the Rfam family "Bacterial small subunit ribosomal RNA", at positions 971 to 1425 of the family's 1533-position model. The record is from RNAcentral.
UUACCGUCUUGACAUAAAGGAGACUCUUUCGGGUACAGGUGGUGCAUGGCUGUCGUCAGCUCGUGUCGUGAGAUGUUGGGUUAAGUCCCGCAACGAGCGCAACCCUAUCUUAGUUACCAUCAUAUGGGACUCGAGGAGACUGCCUGCGAUGACAGGAGGAAGGUGGGGAUGACGUCAAGUCAUCAUGCCCCUUAUGACGGGCUACACACGUGCUACAAUGGAGUACAAGAGGCAUGGUGACACAAGCAAUCUCAAAACUCUCUCAGUUCGGAUUGUAGUCUGCAACUCGACUACAUGAAGUUGGAAUCGCUAGUAAUCGCAAUCAGCACGUGCGGUGAAUACGUUCUCGGGUCUUGUACACACCGCCCGUCACACCACGAGAGUUGGUGACCGAA